GUAGGUGGCAAGCGUUGUCCGGAAUUAUUGGGCGUAAAGCGCGCGCAGGCGGUUCUUUAAGUCUGAUGUGAAAGCCCACGGCUCAACCGUGGAGGGUCAUUGGAAACUGGAGAACUUGAGUACAGAAGAGGAAAGCGGAAUUCCACGUGUAGCGGUGAAAUGCGUAGAGAUGUGGAGGAACACCAGUGGCGAAGGCGGCUUUCUGGUCUGUAACUGACGCUGAGGCGCGAAAGCGUGGGGAGCAAACAGGAUUAGAUACCCUGGUAGUCCACGCCGUAAACGAUGAGUGCUAAGUGUAGGGGGUUUCGCCCCCUUAGUGCUGCAGCUAACGCAUUAAGCACUCCGCCCUGGGAGUACGGCCGCAAGGCUGA
RNAcentral lists this ribosomal RNA (371 nucleotides) under uncultured organism. RNAcentral describes it as "partial 16S ribosomal RNA". It matches the Rfam family "Bacterial small subunit ribosomal RNA", at positions 527 to 897 of the family's 1533-position model. The record is from RNAcentral.